This 1140-nucleotide ribosomal RNA is filed under the name Triticum aestivum (bread wheat). RNAcentral describes it as "partial small subunit ribosomal RNA". The record is from RNAcentral. Lineage: Eukaryota; Viridiplantae; Streptophyta; Magnoliopsida; Poales; Poaceae.
AUGGUUUCAUCGCCGUCGCACCACAGCUCUACUGGAUGGUGGCCGAGCACGAUGCAGACGACGAGGCUUGCUCCGGAAAUGGCGGACGAGGAGUUAACUGAUAUGGUGGUAGACAUGGAGUUUGGAGAACUGAUGAAAAACUGGAUAGAAGAAUGGUCAGAUGAUGAAAAUUCAGAUCUUGGAAAUCAGUCAGAGAAUGGGAACGGAUGGGAAAAUUUGAAUAUGGAUGAGCAUGAUGAUGGUCAGGAAAACAAUUCGGAGCUCUCAAAUGAAGAUUGCAUUAGUCAGUUCAUUUUCGAAUGUCAUAAUGCGUACGACUAUUACCGUGAAUCCGACGCGGAGACAGGCCUUAAUGACGAAUCAUCAAAUGCACCUGAUUCUGGGGAUUCGCAGUCGUCGGUCACCAUCAGUGAGGUGACAGAAGAUGGUGGGGUAAUGAAUGUCCAAGAUACUGCCAGUGCAGGUGAUAAGAGGGAUAUGUUCAUGCAGAUAAUGGACAUGACUUUUAUGACUCACGAUGCUGCGUAUGAUUUCUACAACAGCUAUGCUAGAGCUAAUGGUUUCAGCAUUAGGAAGAAUAAGGUCAGGUAUACCAAAACCGAGGCACAUCUUAUGCGUUAUAGGAAGUUUGUUUGUUCCAGACAAGGGAAACGUGACAGCAAGUUGCUAACCGAGGAAGGGCACAGCCGUCGGCUCAGAGCCGAGACACGCUGCUUUUGCGAAGCACACCUGACUGUCAAGCUUGACCAAAAGCGUGGGGUUUGGUAUGUUGCAAGUUUUGAGGACAAGCAUAGCCAUAUGUUGGCAGGACCGGAUGAGGUACCUUUUCUUUGGUCCCAUAGAAAAAUCAAAGAGUUUCAGAAUCAUGAGAUAAUGUCCAUGGGAGCUGCAGGGAUUAGAAUUCACGACAUGAUGGAUUCCCUCAUCAGCAAACAUGUAUGGUAUGGCGGUGUUGGUUUUACCAGGCGUGAAAUAUACAACCUUUGUGCCAGGGAGAAGAGGAAGCUGCUUUCAAAAGGUGAUGCUGCCACAUCCAUAGGCAUCAUGGCCAGUAGGAAACAGAGGGAUCCUAGCUUCUUUUUCGAGUACAUGCUAGAUAAGGAAGGACACUUGAAUAGGAUGUUCUGGUGUGACUCCUAG